RNAcentral lists this ribosomal RNA (427 nucleotides) under uncultured bacterium. RNAcentral describes it as "bacterial SSU rRNA". It matches the Rfam family "Bacterial small subunit ribosomal RNA", at positions 355 to 774 of the family's 1533-position model. The record is from RNAcentral.
UGGUGAAUUUUGGACAAUGGGCGCAAGCCUGAUCCAGCCAUGCCGCGUGCAGGAUGAAGGCCUUCGGGUUGUAAACUGCUUUUGUACGGAACGAAAAGUCUCUUUCUAAUAAAGAGGGAUCAUGACGGUACCGUAAGAAUAAGCACCGGCUAACUUCGUGCCAGCAGCCGCGGUAAUACGAAGGGUGCAAGCGUUACUCGGAAUUACUGGGCGUAAAGCGUGAGUAGGUGGUUUCUUAAGUCUGCUGUGAAAGCCCCGGGCUCAACCUGGGAACUGCAUUUGUGACUGCAUAGCUAGAGUACGGUAGAGGGGGAUGGAAUUCCGCGUGUAGCAGUGAAAUGCGUAGAUAUGCGGAGGAACACCGAUGGCGAAGGCAAUCCCCUGGGCCUGCACUGACGCUCAUGCACGAAAGCGGGGGGAUCAAACA